This 449-nucleotide ribosomal RNA is filed under the name uncultured bacterium. RNAcentral's name for it is "partial 16S ribosomal RNA". It matches the Rfam family "Bacterial small subunit ribosomal RNA", at positions 29 to 523 of the family's 1533-position model. The record is from RNAcentral.
AACGAACGCUGGCGGCAUGCCUAACACAUGCAAGUCGAACGAGAUCUUCGGGUCUAGUGGCGCACGGGUGCGUAACGCGUGGGAAUCUGCCCUUUGGUUCGGAAUAACAGUUGGAAACGACUGCUAAUACCGGAUGAUGACGAAAGUCCAAAGAUUUAUCGCCAGAGGAUGAGCCCGCGUAGGAUUAGCUAGUUGGUGUGGUAAAGGCGCACCAAGGCGACGAUCCUUAGCUGGUCUGAGAGGAUGAUCAGCCACAGUGGGACUGAGACACGCCCCAGACUCUUAGGGGAGGCAGCAGUGGGAAAUAUUGAAAAAGGGGCGAAAGCCUGAUCCAGCAAUGCCGCGUGAGUGAGGAAGGCUUUAGGGUUGUAAAGCUCUUUUCCCCGGGAUGAUAAUGACAGUACCGGGAGAAUAAGCUCCGGCUAACUCCGUGCCAGCCGCCGCCGUAA